Molecule: ribosomal RNA, 496 nt
Filed under: uncultured bacterium
Lineage: Bacteria
Description: partial 16S ribosomal RNA
Rfam family: Bacterial small subunit ribosomal RNA
Source: RNAcentral
AUUGAACGCUGGCGGUGGGCCUAACACAUGCAAGUCGACCGACAGCACAGUAACAUCUUUCUCCUACGGUUGGCGGGGGCCGGACGGGUAAAAAGUGCAUACCUAUCUAUUAGUUCGGGGUGAAUUACGGAAAGCGGCUUACAUUAAUGCUUAAUACUAGCAACGGGUGAUAGCAUAGGAUAAUACGGUCUUGCUCUCUAUUAUAAGCCGAUCCCCGCUUCACUAGCUAGUUGGUAAGGUAACGGCUUACCAAGGCAACGAUGCAUAGCCGAACUGAGAGGGUGAUCGGCCACACUGGAACUGAGACACGGUCCAGACUCCUACGGGAGGCAGCAGUAGGGAAUCUUCCGCAAUGGGCGAAAGCCUGACGGAGCAACGCCGCGUGAGUGAUGAAGGUCUUCGGAUCGUAAAACUCUGUUAUUAGGGAAGAACAUAUGUGUAAGUAACUGUGCACAUCUUGACGGUACCUAAUCAGAAAGCCACGGCUAACUACGUG